CCUUCUGACUCUGUGCCUCAAAAUCAUCUGUGUCACAUCAAAUCAGAUUUACUAAAGUGAGAUUAAGAGCAGUGCUGAUCUGACAGUGGUGAUUUUGUUGUGCACCUGGCUGUUAUGUUUCUUCAAGUAGCUAUUUUCUUUUCCAGUCACUUACUUUGAGACAUAUCCAAACUGAAAAAAGAUGUGAGUGCUCUUAGAGAACAUUGUAUCAUUUGUCCUUUUAACACCAUUUAUUACACUAAACUGUCAUCAUCAAUGGCAAUAUUAGAUAUGUUCUGAACACAAAGAAACGUCAGUAUUAACUUCAAGUGGGCGUGUUUACAAGUCUUAAAGGUGUUUUUUUCUAUUCGGAGAUGCUGCAUAUGUAGUGAUCUAAUACAACAAUGUACUAUAUACAUUGAUUGGUGUGUAUGGGUGGUUUUCUUUGUUUUGUAAUUGUUAAAUCGUUUAAAUCACUGCGAUACACACAAGCCGUGUGCUAAAUGAUUUGCAAGCUUUGAAAAAGUUUUAACAUACAUCAGAAAAAUGUUCCAAUUAUUAAAGUAGUCUCUCAAUUUGUUUUACCACAGGAAGCUUGUCAUAACUGUCAAGGGAAUUUGGUUCACUUUACAAUAACUAGUCACCUGCUUUCCAUUGCACGCUCACUGUUGUCCCAUAACCUGCGAAGACUCAACACGUACCGCACAAUGCAAUUUAUCGGGCAGAUCUGUUAAUAAACAAAGGCGUGUGUUUGACGGUUUCAGCUUCUAAUCCGAGAUCUGAAUCCUGGAAUACGAACUACUGAAUCUUUGAAAUUCUUAACUGCACAGUAAACAUGCAUCCCGAUGCUUUCAUAGCGAAUGACAACGCGCGCAUUCAGUCGGGCUCCACGUCCGCUGAAACAACCAACACGUGCAUCUUAACGCCCAGGUGAACCUGAAAACCUUCCACUGUAUCUGCAUAUCGGGAUGUGUCUGGAAGCUUUAAGGUAGGACUGACGCUCAAUACGAGAUGCUUUCUUUGUCCUUAAAAACCAAUGGGCAGGGCAGUUAUCUUCAGGUAAAGCACAUCGACGUAAAACUGCAGGAUAGUUAGUUUUAUGAUGACGUGCAAAUUACAGAUAAGCAAGCAAAGGUAAACGACAUUUAGCACAAGAAUCUUCUUUGAGCAAGUUAAUGUUUCGUAAUACUGAAACUGCUCGUCUUUCCGGGACAAUCAUUGCGUUUUGCUACGGCCUCGUUAAUCAGUCUUUCUAGUCAAAUGGUUUCACGCGCUCGUCUAGCGAAGCGCUCCCCCAGGUUUUCACCGGCUAUGCUUCUUUUUUUUCUCAACAGGCAAAUAGAAGAAUCGGGAGAAGGCACAGGAGUUAACAGCCCGACAAAGACACGCAGCCCAAUGCCCAAGAGGCAGCCAGCAGACGGCGAUGACAGCACCUGAGCGCAGGAUGCAAAAUGCAAUUUGCACGUGCAUUGUGAUCUAAUCAUGGAGACAAAACUGGAUCAUCCAUAGAGAUGGAAAUGUAUGAUUUUUUGGAAGUCUGCUGCGAGUGCAUUCGAGAUUCAUUACCGCAUUAUUAUUUUCACAGUUUAUAAACCUCUAAAUAAGAAGUUAUGUAUGGUUGGUGAGCACUUCAUUCCUGCAGUCUUUUUCUUAUCAAGGGUUGAUGAAUUUGUAACAUGUUAUCAAGUGAUGCCUGACUGCUGACACACAAGAUUUUAUCAGCAGAUUAAGAACUCUGAUAACCAGGAAGUCUUUGAACCAGGAAGUGUUUGAAUGAAUCUUUAUACCUUUAAACUCAUAGCAUCACAGAAAACAGCAAACAUAUUCUGCUUUACAAUGUGUGUGCAAUCUCCCAACACUGAUCAAUAUUCGAGAAUAUUCUUGGCUUGAAAAUGAGACAUUUGGAUAAAAGACAGACUGGAUGCUGCCACCAUCCACAAGAAGGUCAUGGAUGGUGUGAUCUCUGAGUAUAGUUCCAGUGAAACUGCCAGGCAAGGCACACCAUCCUAGAAAUUAUUGCCAGUGGGACGUCGGAUAAUACGGAAUGUUGGAUAAGCGAAG
This is a long non-coding RNA of Polypterus senegalus (gray bichir), 2040 nucleotides long. RefSeq lists it as uncharacterized. The transcript has 9 exons. The record is from RefSeq and is a predicted model, not a curated record. NCBI's taxonomy places the organism in Eukaryota, Metazoa, Chordata, Cladistia, Polypteriformes, Polypteridae.